This 226-nucleotide long non-coding RNA is filed under the name Phaseolus vulgaris (common bean). Its description in RNAcentral is "long non-coding RNA (PVUL_LNC000417)". Lineage: Eukaryota; Viridiplantae; Streptophyta; Magnoliopsida; Fabales; Fabaceae. The record is from RNAcentral.
GGUUUCAAGCACUAUAAUAUUUUGUAGGACCUUUGGGUGGACACCUCUAUUAGAAAUGGAUAAUGAUAUAUUUAUUUUCAUAAAUUAUCCUAUGCAGUUCACAAACCAUCAUUUUUUAUUUGAAAUAGAAGUGGUAGCAAAGUUGUGCUACACAACACCACUCGGUCUUAAUAGUACAUGUUCCAACACCUUAAUGCCCCCGCUAGAGUUACAAACUAGCGCUACC